ACGUGGUUGUGUGUCCUUGGGUUUAUUGUGCGUGACUCCAUGUCUGCUUUCCACGAAUCUUCAUCUAUUGAAAAGGAAAAAGGCAGAGCUAUUUCUCUUCAAUCUUUUCAAGUACUCUUCAAUUUCAAGGUAAUUUUUUCUUCUUUCCCUGCCUUCCUCUUCAUUUUUUUAGAUCUGAUUUCUUGUGAUAAGUGGUUCUCUUCAGAGCUUCAUCGCAUUUGGCUGAACCGAUUUAUAAAUCUUUGGUUUUUAGAUUUAGUUUUAUGGGGUGAUGAAGUUUGAAUUUGAGAAGACGCAAUAAAAAAUAAAACGAACUAAACUUCAAUGUUGAGACACAACCCCCAACUAAUUAGAGUUCUGCCAGUUAAGUGUUUUCCUAAAAAUAAUAAAUAUGUAGAUUGUUAAGUAGAAAUUGUCAUCAGUUACCAAAGCGGUGGUCCACAUAGUAACCUUUGUAUUUAACGAUAUCUAUUCAAAGACUAAUAUUAGGAUUAAAUUAGAAUACAUUUUGUUAAGCCACCACAACUUGGCUAUUUAUAUAUGUAAAUUGUAAAGGGAAGGAAAAGACACAUUUUGCUUUUGAUUAGCCAUAGUUUUUGAGGAGGUUGUAUGAACAUAUAGGGAAAAGAAUUACCGUUGUGCCUUUUAGGCAAGCUUCGUGUGAUGAGUUUUGUACCUGAAACUUCGCAGGUAAAAGAUUAGCAAUUCAACUAAUUCCAUAAGCAUUUAGAAUAACUUCAUUGGAAGAUUUGAUAGUAUAGAUCAUUUACAAUUAGCUAAUAUAGUGAUAUAACAAGAAAUUAAUAACAAAAGAGAUUUGUAAAUAAGAUAUGAACUACCCCUGAGUUAUGGGGAAAUUCGGAUGCUAAGCUUGCCCUGUCUAUCGUAUCGUCGGGAUGGUACCUCGUUUCCUUAUUCAUCGUCAACCAUUGCUUGAUGUCUGCCUCUGCAAUCAAGCGUUCCGCUGCAACCCACACACACAAGUAUGUGAUAAACAUGUGCAUCGAGGUUGGAGCAUAUAGGCUCACACUUGGUGUCCUUCAGAAAAAUUUGUAUUCCUGCAGUCCAAUGUUGUUAGUGUCAUUUUCCUAUAUGUACCACAUAUAUUGCUUCAUUAUUGAUGCUCUUCUUAUUUUAACGUAAUUCCAAUGAGAAGUAGUAUUUGUUUUGCUUAAAGAGGCUGAAGUGUCCAUUCCUUCCAUGAUCAAGUGAUUUUAAGUACUACCAGGCAUCCUCCCACUUUCAUCCAUCUUUAUUACGUUAUGUUUCCAUCACAAUCAAAAUGCAUCAGUAUAAUCCUUGCACUAACAAAAAUCUAUUUGAAUCUAUCUAAUUCUCAGCUCAUCGAUCAGUUUAAUGCAUAUGCACCUAUAAAAGGAAUAAGUGUGUUUUAUGUUCGUAUAGUUUGAUUGUUAUAUUAAUUCCUCCUGUUCACAUAAAAGACAUUUUUGUUACACUCGAAAAUUAUGACUUACCUGGCUAAAAUUUUGGAUUCAUAUCGAUGGGCACUUGAUUGAGUAAUUUCCAAGUUUGUUUUUUCUUCUACAAAAUUCUUAGUGGCUAAAUAGAUGGUUCAUCUGUAUAUGUAUGAUGCCACCUAAUGACAAUGUUGGACUACACUCCUCUCUUUUCUAAAAGAGAGUAGAUUGUACAUGUUAAGAUCUGUUAUAUUUAUUUAAUUCCACUCUUAGUUGUGAUGACAUUUUCUCUGUGUAGCGUACCAAAAAUGAAGAGGCAUAACACUUGAAGAGGCCCUACUACUAAAGUAAUUCCACAUGACAAGUUUCCGUUUCAUUGUUAGAAUGAAUUUUUUUCCAGUUUAGAGAAUAUUAGUUUAUUCAUAGAUGUAUACGUGGUUAUAGUGUCAUUGUGUUAUUUGGCAACUCUUCCCCUCUAUGUGGGGAAAACUCAAAUAACCAUAUUGGUUCCUUCAGAGAUGUAUAGUUAUUAAUUAAUAACAUUCAAGUAGCAUGAGGUGGUUAUAGUGUCACAAUUAUGUUAUUGGCAAAAUUGAUGUAUUUAAGCUAUCAUACAUUUUUUAAGGAAUUGUAUCUUAGUCAUGACAUAAUUAAUCAUGUUUGCUGAAAAUAUGUUGAAAUCUUUUUGCUUGAGAUUUCAGUCUCAAUGUAUGAUUAGUUAACAUUAGUUGAAGGAAAAGUUUCUUCGUUCAAAAGUAA
This 2177-nucleotide long non-coding RNA is filed under the name Solanum tuberosum (potato). RNAcentral's name for it is "long non-coding RNA (STUB_LNC003231)". Lineage: Eukaryota; Viridiplantae; Streptophyta; Magnoliopsida; Solanales; Solanaceae. The record is from RNAcentral.